AGACAGAAUACCAACAAGGGGGACUCCCACCCCAUAUCCUUCAGCUCUUACUCCUCUACACCAGCCUCAGAGCACAGCGUCCCUCCCGCUAUCCCAGCCUCUGUGCAAAUAAGGAAUUGGGCAAAUCGGCUCUGGAUUAUUUAUGAAGGCACAAAGGGAGAGAGACACACAUUGGACAAAAUUCAAAUGUGAUAUAUGUACACACCCCCUUCUUUGGCUGUGAUUUGUGCAAAAUCACAUCCAGGCUAUAGCCACAGCCCCUGGGGCUCAUCUCUGUUCUGAGGUACAAGAAGCUGGCAACGCGCUUUUCACACAGGACAAAGCCAUGCUGGCUGUUGAUUCUAAAGGCCCCAUCAUCCAGACUCUUGUGCUGUUAUUGGAAAAAAACAUGAGACUGGCCAAAAGCAGCUCAGGUCACAUUAUCAGAGUAUAUCAUCAAGGCUUCUGAGGGAACUCCAC
RNAcentral lists this long non-coding RNA (459 nucleotides) under Mus spicilegus (steppe mouse). RNAcentral's name for it is "lncRNA (ENSMSIG00000003922.1)". Lineage: Eukaryota; Metazoa; Chordata; Mammalia; Rodentia; Muridae. The record is from RNAcentral.